This 2419-nucleotide long non-coding RNA is filed under the name Canis lupus familiaris (dog). Its description in RNAcentral is "lncRNA (ENSCAFG00845010880.1)". The record is from RNAcentral. Lineage: Eukaryota; Metazoa; Chordata; Mammalia; Carnivora; Canidae.
GGGUGGAAAAGAAGGAGAGGUUGCAUUGAAUUAUAUCUGUUGGGAAGAAUACAGAGUGAUAUAGUGCUUGAUGGGCUUUGGAGGUAUUUCAAUGGGAAAUAGAUGGCUAUAGAAAAAUAUAGAGAAUGAAGGUUUUCCAGGAAGAGGCGACUUAAUGGGCCAUGGCUCAUUGGUGGGAAUGUGAUUUCAAUACAUAAGGCCAUUUUGUCUCUGGUGACACAAUCCUGCAGGGGAGCUGAAGAAAUCUAAGAUGAGACCUUAGGAAAUAAACCGUCUUAAGAGGCAAGCCAAGAGGUUGAGACUUGAUUUAGAAAGCCAUGGAAAGCCACUAAAAGUUUUAAACAGAGUGAUGAAACCAGUGCCUGUGCAUUUUUUAGGUUGAAAGUUUUGAGAUGUCAGUUUCUCCUGGAAGUCAUCAGGAGCGCAUGUGCAAAGCUAGACGUUUUUCUUAGCAGCAUGGAGUUCUCAAGGGUGCACUUUCCAAGUCUAAAAUAGCAUAGGAAGCACCUAUCUUCCUCAGAUACGUGUCAUGGAUCAUACUUGUUAUAGAAGUUUAGUUGUAAGGACUGGUGUGUGGAUUAGGUGUUGGGGCAAUGACUGGUUCUGGAAACUGCUCUUAUGAAAGAACAGUGACUAUGGUCCCCAAGGGAAGAACCACGUGGAGGAUUGGGAAAGAAGAAAGGAAGACAGGAAGGGGAGCCAGCAAAUGCGGGCACCAGAGCAAUGUUGUAUUAGAUUCAUUCAGAGUAGAAGAAGCUGAGAGCUUUCCAUAAGUGAAGGCCUUGCAGGCAAAAGGAGCGCACAAGUAGAUCUGGGAAGAGGCUUCCAGCAAUCCCUGUGGAUUUGGAAGUCAGGCCCACAGAGGUACUUGUGAAGUACGGAGCGUGACUGAGUCUUCCAAAGGAGGAAGCAUAGGUCGGGAAGGCCAUCUGGCCUAAAAGACUCUUAGAAGGCUACAGCCAUAUUUAUCGGUGCUAGAAGGAACACCGUAAGUAGAUACUCUUGGUAUAGGAGAUCUAGGUUACUCCAGAACUAGGAAAAUGUCAAGCAAGAGAGCGAAACUCUGAGAAAGAAAGGAUGAGGCAUUUAUGAGGUUGGAGAUGAAGGGUACCGGAGAUGAUGACUCCUCAGUAAAAGCACUCACUUGAUAAGGGCAAGAACUUUGCUUAUUUGUCUUUAUCCCCCGGGCCUGUCAUGAGUCCUGGCUCAGGCUGGGCAAUCAGUUGGCUGCUAUGUGUUACUUUGGAUGCCAUGGGAAAUGCAGGGUCGGCAGGACUUCUAGGCUACCGACAUCUUCCUGGAGAAGGAUUCAAAAGAGGUGCUGGGCCUCUUCUUUCCUCUACCUGUUCAUGUCACCCCAUUAGUCUUCCCCUACCCACCCCCCAAACAAUGCACACACUGGAAGCUUCAGUUUCAGCAUUCUUAAAACAAAUAUGACAAUCACUUUGCUUUGGUGGCUUUUCUGGACAGGCAGCAGGAGGAGAGAGGCUUUUUUUUGGCCCAUUGAAAACAGACUCUAAUUUCUAGGUAAAUUUUAAGUUUAAAAAGGUUUCCUUUGGCCUGUUUAUCCCCUUCUAUCCAACAGAAGGACAUCUGUGCUUCUUCUCCUCCACCCAGCUAUUCAGUAGAACAGGGACAAACGUGACACCAAAGCUCUCCAGUGGGCCUGCCUUAGGAAGCAUUACCGGGCUGGCUGUUCAGAAUCGUAGAUGGGAAAGUACACACGGCACUGACACACGCCUGCCAGAGCAAAGCAGAGCUUUCCUCACACGGGAUUCAGGGUCAAAGUGAGAGGCAGCCAGCAGAGAAGGGAUCCCUGCCAACAAGGUUGACAGAGCCCCACUUCCACGCUAAACCAAAGCCCUGCUGCCCCAGAGCGGCGUGUUCCCUUUCCCUUCCUUCCGCUAAGUACGGCUUGAGACACAUUUGACCAGAACUGCAACAUUUCAGACAUAAACCAAACUCGGCCUGGAACUCCUAAUUAAAAAUGUUCCAUUCCCAGGUGGCACAAUCGCAUCCUGCCUAAGACUUCUGGCCCACAUCCCACCACCCAGAUGCUGAAAAGAAACCUUUCCCCACUUUUACACCCAGACCUGCACUCGGUGUUUCUUCAGGGGACAAAGAAAAAAAAAAGUACACUUACACAGAGGUCAGCCUACAUGUUCAUGAAGGAAAAAGAGCGUGGCUUAUUCAUCCGUCUUUCAAACUUUUGAUUGUCGGCAUUCUGAUUAUGAUUAAUUACUCUGACUGACCAGGAUGGGAGGGGAGGAUAAAUGCUGGUGCUCUGAAAUGAUCUACCCAACUCCGUCAUCUGUAACAACCAGUGAUAAUUCUCUUGUCUUGUAAAAAGGGUUUGUACAUAACUUGUACAUGGUUUCAUUUUGUAUUUUUCGCAGAUUAAAAAUUUAUGUAUUUGUGU